Molecule: small RNA, 1126 nt
Filed under: Malus domestica (apple)
Lineage: Eukaryota; Viridiplantae; Streptophyta; Magnoliopsida; Rosales; Rosaceae
Description: sRNA MD02G0013200
Source: RNAcentral
CUGGAGUGAGGGAUGAGAGAGAUUGACAGUGGAAAAAUCUCUCCUACAGCCGGAUCUCUGGAAUUUUCCAUGGUUUCUAUCCCCCACUAAUUCCUCUCCCCCUCCUUCCCGCGCCUAAUUCACUCAGCCCUCACCUCUCUCUACCCCACUCAGACUCCCCCAUCUCCCAACACUGUCAAUCUCUCUCAUCCCUCACUACUCUGCCUCUACCAUCUGUCUCAUUCUCCCUCUCCGCAAAACCGAGAACCACCAUCACAUCAUCUCCAAACACCACCCAAACAAAAUAACGUCCCUGGAGCUUUUGCGCUGAUUCCAGUUUUUUUAGCGGUUUCCAAGAAACGCAGUCUGCGAUGCCUGUUCCGUCCUGAUUUGAGGAAGAUUUCUCUAGCGACUGUAAUUUCAUGGUAAGUAACCGUCUUCAGUUGGUUGUUUUGAACGCUGGAACCAGUGUAAAAAUAUCUGUCACCCCCUCAACAUGGAUGCCUCUAAUAUGGCUAAUCAGUCAGACCGACAUCCAACCGAUCGGGUCGGUGUCGGGUCGGUGACCAGAUCGAGCUAGCAGAUCAGACCGACAUCCAAGAAGCUGCAAAAUUAGAAGGCAACAAUAUUACAGUUUUAACAAGUAGCAUGGAUCCUGAUGCUUUCAACGCUGCAAAACAAGGCAAUCUCGAUGUCCUUAAGGAACAUGGCGAGAAUCUGGACAAAAUAUUGACUGCAACCAAGAACACAGUCCUUCAUAUCUAUACAACAUGCUAUAGGCACCCAACGUAUGAAGGAUCUGGCGAUGAGAUACUUGAGUCAAUGAACACUGUGAACGGUAUCCUUAAAAUGUGUCCAGUAUUACUAUGACAGCAGAACGAGAGUGGUGAUACUGCCCUACACAUUGCGGCAAGAUAUGGGCGUGCUGGUAUAGUUAUAGCUCUCAUCCAAGCUGCAAAAACUUAUUAUCCAGGCAACCUCGAGCAAGGCUGUGCGAUUGCAUCAGAAGAUGCCCUCUCGUAGGAGCAAAAGCUCAUCAGGAAAACCAACAAGAAGAAUGACACAGCACUACACAAAGUUGUUCGCGCUUCACCACACCAAAGUAAUUAAAGCGGACAACUUCGUGCAGUGUUGUGUCCUUCUUGUU